RNAcentral lists this non-coding RNA (31 nucleotides) under Mus musculus (house mouse). The record is from RNAcentral. Lineage: Eukaryota; Metazoa; Chordata; Mammalia; Rodentia; Muridae.
UAAGAAGUUCAGGUCUGAGAGAUUUCUGUUU